RNAcentral lists this ribosomal RNA (466 nucleotides) under uncultured bacterium. RNAcentral's name for it is "partial 16S ribosomal RNA". It matches the Rfam family "Bacterial small subunit ribosomal RNA", at positions 28 to 507 of the family's 1533-position model. The record is from RNAcentral.
GAUGAACGCUGGCGGCGUGCUUAACACAUGCAAGUCGAACGGAAAGGCUCCUGCUUGCAGGGGUACUCGAGUGGCGAACGGGUGAGUAACACGUGGGUGAUCUACCCUGCACUUCGGGAUAAGCCUGGGAAACUGGGUCUAAUACCGGAUAGGACGAUGGUUUGGAUGCCAUUGUGGAAAGUUUUUCGGUGUGGGAUGAGCUCGCGGCCUAUCAGCUUGUUGGUGGGGUAAUGGCCUACCAAGGCGUCGACGGGUAGCCGGCCUGAGAGGGUGUACGGCCACAUUGGGACUGAGAUACGGCCCAGACUCCUACGGGAGGCAGCAGUGGGGAAUAUUGCACAAUGGGCGCAAGCCUGAUGCAGCGACGCCGCGUGGGGGAUGACGGCCUUCGGGUUGUAAACUCCUUUCGCUAGGGACGAAGCGUUUUGUGACGGUACCUGGAGAAGAAGCACCGGCUAACUACGUG